This 205-nucleotide non-coding RNA is filed under the name Clostridium neonatale. The record is from RNAcentral. Lineage: Bacteria; Bacillati; Bacillota; Clostridia; Eubacteriales; Clostridiaceae.
GAGAAGUUAAUUUCCGAGAAAUCAAAUGAUUGAGUAACGCCAUGAAGGGUUUCCCCGAAUACUCCGAUAUGCAACUAUAUUCAUAAAAAUAUAAUUGUGUAAAGCUCGGUGAAGUCGGCUGAAAGAUACCGUAAUAUAAACAAUAGUUUAUAACGAAACCGCCUUAGAGGUAAGGUGUGUAUCCCAUAGGUCGGGGGUCAUAAAA